This 88-nucleotide non-coding RNA is filed under the name Pandoraea pnomenusa. Its description in RNAcentral is "Burkholderia RNA 7 (anti-hemB)". It matches the Rfam family "Burkholderia RNA 7 (anti-hemB)". From Rfam's summary of the family: This RNA motif was identified by computational search in b-proteobacteria Burkholderia. Co-purified with Hfq, expression confirmed by Northern blot. RNAcentral also lists the same sequence under 1 other name. The record is from Rfam by way of RNAcentral. Lineage: Bacteria; Pseudomonadati; Pseudomonadota; Betaproteobacteria; Burkholderiales; Burkholderiaceae.
UCCCCCGCUUCUCCUCCCUGAGCGGGCGCCUGUCGUUCUACGAUUAGGCUUAUUUAAACCCGCCGUGCCUACACGGCGGUUUUUUUAU